UACGGAGGAUCCAAGCGUUAUCCGGAAUCAUUGGUUUUAAAGGGUCCGUAGGCGGUUUAAUAAGUCAGUGGUGAAAGCCCAUCGCUCAACGGUGGAACGGCCAUUGAUACUGUUAAACUUGAAUUAUUAGGAAGUAACUAGAAUAUGUAGUGUAGCGGUGAAAUGCUUAGAGAUUACAUGGAAUACCAAUUGCGAAGGCAGGUUACUACUAAUGGAUUGACGCUGAUGGACGAAAGCGUGGGUAGCGAACAGG
This 253-nucleotide ribosomal RNA is filed under the name uncultured bacterium. Its description in RNAcentral is "partial 16S ribosomal RNA". It matches the Rfam family "Bacterial small subunit ribosomal RNA", at positions 524 to 776 of the family's 1533-position model. The record is from RNAcentral.